UGUUUAUUGUCCCUACCGCUGUGUUAUUAAAUGCCGCCUUAUUCCACUGCAUUGUCAAGAUUCUUGUUUGAAUGCAUUUGUCGCAAAAAUGAUAAAAUUACGAAAUAUAUACACGAUUUUACUGGUUGUAGAUAUAAUUUGUACUAUCGUCGACCAAUGCCUUUCCGACCCGAUUAACAGUGAAAAUACCAGGGUUUAUAGAGCUGCAAUCCCACAAUUCCCAUCGAUACCCUCAGUUCCACCUGUGAACCAAGCGGAUAUAAUUUUAAAGGCGCUACAAGAAGCUAUGAAGGUGCUUCAACAAAUGCCGAGACCGGCAUAACGCUCGAUGAACUGUCAAUUUGUCUUUCAACAAAUCGAUCGAUUCAAGAUAAACAGAACAAUAAAAAUAUUACUUAUGCAUUGGUAAUUUAAGUUUAUUAUGUUGUGUUAAAUAAUACAAAUAUAAAAUUAUUUACAGCAAUGUAAUACUAUGAAUGUAAAAUAAAAUAUCAUUUUAAAUACCAAA
Molecule: long non-coding RNA, 508 nt
Organism: Sitophilus oryzae (rice weevil)
Lineage: Eukaryota; Metazoa; Arthropoda; Insecta; Coleoptera; Curculionidae
Exons: 2
Source: RefSeq, a predicted model, not a curated record